GGCCCCAUGGUCAAGUGGUUAAGACACCGCCCUUUCACGGCGGUAACGGGGGUUCGAAUCCCCCUGGGGUCA
RNAcentral lists this transfer RNA (72 nucleotides) under Kyrpidia spormannii. It matches the Rfam family "tRNA". From Rfam's summary of the family: Transfer RNA (tRNA) molecules are approximately 80 nucleotides in length. Their secondary structure includes four short double-helical elements and three loops (D, anti-codon, and T loops). Further hydrogen bonds mediate the characteristic L-shaped molecular structure. tRNAs have two regions of fundamental functional importance: the anti-codon, which is responsible for specific mRNA codon recognition, and the 3' end, to which the tRNAs corresponding amino acid is attached (by aminoacyl-tRNA synthetases). tRNAs cope with the degeneracy of the genetic code in two manners: having more than one tRNA (with a specific anti-codon) for a particular amino acid; and 'wobble' base-pairing, i.e. permitting non-standard base-pairing at the 3rd anti-codon position. Lineage: Bacteria; Bacillati; Bacillota; Bacilli; Caryophanales; Alicyclobacillaceae. The record is from Rfam by way of RNAcentral.